CGGCGAUGUCCGAAUGGGGAAACCCAGUGCAAUUCGUUGCACUAUCGUUAACUGAAUACAUAGGUUAACGAGGCGAACCGGGGGAACUGAAACAUCUAAGUACCCCGAGGAAAAGAAAUCAACCGAGAUUCCCCCAGUAGCGGCGAGCGAACGGGGAGCAGCCCAGAGUCUGAAUCAGCUUGUGUGUUAGUGGAACGGUCUGGAAAGUCCGACGGUACAGGGUGAUAGUCCCGUACACCAAAAUGCACAGGUUGUGAACUCGAAGAGUAGGGCGGGACACGUGGUAUCCUGUCUGAAUAUGGGGGGACCAUCCUCCAAGGCUAAAUACUCCUGACUGACCGAUAGUGAACCAGUACCGUGAGGGAAAGGCGAAAAGAACCCCGGCGAGGGGAGUGAAAAAGAACCUGAAACCGUGUACGUACAAGCAGUGGGAGCACCUUCGGGUGUGACUGCGUACCUUUUGUAUAAUGGGUCAGCGACUUAUAUUCUGUAGCAAGGUUAACCGUAUAGGGGAGCCGCAGGGAAACCGAGUCUUAACUGGGCGUUAAGUUGCAGGGUAUAGACCCGAAACCCGGUGAUCUAGCCAUGGGCAGGUUGAAGGUUGGGUAACACUAACUGGAGGACCGAACCGACUAAUGUUGAAAAAUUAGCGGAUGACUUGUGGCUGGGGGUGAAAGGCCAAUCAAACCGGGAGAUAGCUGGUUCUCCCCGAAAGCUAUUUAGGUAGCGCCUCGUGAACUCAUCUUCGGGGGUAGAGCACUGUUUCGGCUAGGGGGUCAUCCCGACUUACCAACCCGAUGCAAACUACGAAUACCGAAGAAUGUUAUCACGGGAGACACACGGCGGGUGCUAACGUCCGUCGUGAAGAGGGAAACAACCCAGACCGCCAGCUAAGGUCCCAAAGUCAUGGUUAAGUGGGAAACGAUGUGGGAAGGCACAGACAGCCAGGAUGUUGGCUUAGAAGCAGCCAUCAUUUAAAGAAAGCGUAAUAGCUCACUGGUCGAGUCGGCCUGCGCGGAAGAUGUAACGGGGCUAAACCAUGCACCGAAGCUGCGGCAGCGACACUAUGUGUUGUUGGGUAGGGGAGCGUUCUGUAAGCCUGCGAAGGUGUGCUGUGAGGCAUGCUGGAGGUAUCAGAAGUGCGAAUGCUGACAUAAGUAACGAUAAAGCGGGUGAAAAGCCCGCUCGCCGGAAGACCAAGGGUUCCUGUCCAACGUUAAUCGGGGCAGGGUGAGUCGACCCCUAAGGCGAGGCCGAAAGGCGUAGUCGAUGGGAAACAGGUUAAUAUUCCUGUACUUGGUGUUACUGCGAAGGGGGGACGGAGAAGGCUAUGUUAGCCGGGCGACGGUUGUCCCGGUUUAAGCAUGUAGGCUGGUUGUCCAGGUAAAUCCGGAUAAUCAAGGCUGAGGUGUGAUGACGAGGCACUACGGUGCUGAAGUAACAAAUGCCCUGCUUCCAGGAAAAGCCUCUAAGCAUCAGGUAACAUCAAAUCGUACCCCAAACCGACACAGGUGGUCAGGUAGAGAAUACCAAGGCGCUUGAGAGAACUCGGGUGAAGGAACUAGGCAAAAUGGUGCCGUAACUUCGGGAGAAGGCACGCUGGUGUGUAGGUGAAGUCCCUGCGGAUGGAGCUGAGACCAGUCGAAGAUACCAGCUGGCUGCAACUGUUUAUUAAAAACACAGCACUGUGCAAACACGAAAGUGGACGUAUACGGUGUGACGCCUGCCCGGUGCCGGAAGGUUAAUUGAUGGGGUUAUCCGUAAGGAGAAGCUCUUGAUCGAAGCCCCGGUAAACGGCGGCCGUAACUAUAACGGUCCUAAGGUAGCGAAAUUCCUUGUCGGGUAAGUUCCGACCUGCACGAAUGGCGUAAUGAUGGCCAGGCUGUCUCCACCCGAGACUCAGUGAAAUUGAACUCGCUGUGAAGAUGCAGUGUACCCGCGGCAAGACGGAAAGACCCCGUGAACCUUUACUAUAGCUUGACACUGAACAUUGAGCCUUGAUGUGUAGGAUAGGUGGGAGGCUUUGAAGCGUGGACGCCAGUCUGCGUGGAGCCAACCUUGAAAUACCACCCUUUAAUGUUUGAUGUUCUAACGUUGGCCCCUGACCGGGGUUGCGGACAGUGUCUGGUGGGUAGUUUGACUGGGGCGGUCUCCUCCCAAAGCGUAACGGAGGAGCACGAAGGUUAGCUAAUCCUGGUCGGACAUCAGGAGGUUAGUGCAAUGGCAUAAGCUAGCUUGACUGCGAGCGUGACGGCGCGAGCAGGUGCGAAAGCAGGUCAUAGUGAUCCGGUGGUUCUGAAUGGAAGGGCCAUCGCUCAACGGAUAAAAGGUACUCCGGGGAUAACAGGCUGAUACCGCCCAAGAGUUCAUAUCGACGGCGGUGUUUGGCACCUCGAUGUCGGCUCAUCACAUCCUGGGGCUGAAGUAGGUCCCAAGGGUAUGGCUGUUCGCCAUUUAAAGUGGUACGCGAGCUGGGUUUAGAACGUCGUGAGACAGUUCGGUCCCUAUCUGCCGUGGGCGCUGGAGAAUUGAGGGGGGCUGCUCCUAGUACGAGAGGACCGGAGUGGACGCAUCACUGGUGUUCGGGUUGUCAUGCCAAUGGCACUGCCCGGUAGCUAAAUGCGGAAGAGAUAAGUGCUGAAAGCAUCUAAGCACGAAACUUGCCCCGAGAUGAGUUCUCCCUGAGACUUUAAGUCUCCUGAAGGAACGUUGAAGACGACGACGUUGAUAGGCCGGGUGUGUAAGCGCAGCGAUGCGUUGAGCUAACCGGUACUAAUGAACCGUGAGGCUUAACC
Molecule: ribosomal RNA, 2795 nt
Filed under: Klebsiella pneumoniae
Lineage: Bacteria; Pseudomonadati; Pseudomonadota; Gammaproteobacteria; Enterobacterales; Enterobacteriaceae
Description: bacterial LSU rRNA
Rfam family: Bacterial large subunit ribosomal RNA
Source: RNAcentral